Molecule: ribosomal RNA, 253 nt
Filed under: uncultured bacterium
Lineage: Bacteria
Description: partial 16S ribosomal RNA
Rfam family: Bacterial small subunit ribosomal RNA
Source: RNAcentral
UACAGAGCCCACAACCGUUAAUCGGAAUCACUGGGCUUAAAGGGUGCGUAGGCGGGUUCGUAAGUGCUUUGUGAAAGCCCCAGGCUCAACCGAGGAACUGCAGGGCAUACAGCGAAUCUCGAGGAAUCUAGAGGCCGGCAGAACGAUAGGUGGAGCGGUGGAAUGCGUAGAGAUCUAUCGGAAUGCCAAAGGUGAAGGCAGCCGGCUGGGGAUUUCCUGACGAUGAGGCACGAAAGAGUGGGGAGCAAACAGG